AUGACGUGUAGCAUGCCCGUUGUGGGAUACUCUGAUGUUUAUACGCUAUUUUAUUGCUUUUGGGUAACGGGGUGUUACAGA
RNAcentral lists this microRNA precursor (81 nucleotides) under Medicago truncatula (barrel medic). Its description in RNAcentral is "MIR2617 microRNA precursor family". It matches the Rfam family "MIR2617 microRNA precursor family". Lineage: Eukaryota; Viridiplantae; Streptophyta; Magnoliopsida; Fabales; Fabaceae. The record is from Rfam by way of RNAcentral.